Molecule: long non-coding RNA, 880 nt
Filed under: Olea europaea subsp. europaea
Lineage: Eukaryota; Viridiplantae; Streptophyta; Magnoliopsida; Lamiales; Oleaceae
Source: RNAcentral
CUGCUUUCGGUUGUACAAAGAGCAUCAAUGUAUCAUCAUAAAAUCUUCUUGAGGAAGCCCUGGUGAUUAGAUUAUUAUUAGUACCUCUCAGUUCUCACCACCAGUUGAAGAAAUCUGCUCGAUUUAUUGGUAAGUAUAUUUCAAUUUCUCUUCUAUUUCACACACACUUGAUAUGUGCGCCUUUUAGAGUAUUUCAAUACGUAAUAGUUUUUCAAUUGAAAUGUGCUGGAAAUGCCACUAAAAUCAUGGCCAUUACAAUAAAAUUCCUGGAGACAGCAUUGUAUAGGAUUUCUAGAUUUCCUCUUUUUGUUGAACUACACAGUUUCUCGUUUUUCUUUAGUCUCCCAGUUAUGUUAUCCUUUUUAUUAUUUAUUAUUUUUUUUAUAUUUUAAGAAGUCAGGGAAAAAAAAAAAAAGACACUGCAUUUGCUUUCAACGAAGUAGAUGAAAGAUUGUCAUUUUCGUUGUUGUCUCCGUACAUUUGCUUUCUUGUUUCGCAUCUUUUGUCUUUCCCUCUCCUCCUCCAUUCUUCUUUCCUCAAGGAUGCUUCAGUGCUGUUUCCUACAAUGAAAGUUGGAAAUUGUAAUUUCAAUAGAUAGGUUAAACGUUGUAUAAAAGAAGCACUUGCAUUGAUAAUUAUUAUUUCAUGACCAAACUGCAGUUACCAUUCAGCCAUAUGGGAAAGACAAUUCAGGUAUCUGGCUUCCCUUCUCUUGUUGCUGCCGAAACCAUUAAGACAUUCUUGGAGCGAGACACGGGUCCAGGAUCAGUAGUUGCCUUAGAUGUAAAUCAGUGCAAAGGAAAGCAUGGAAGAGCAUAUGCCAAAGUUCAAUUUGAGAAUAGCUCACACGCUGAUAAAAUUUUCAGUUUGGCAAGAGCAC